Molecule: transfer RNA, 73 nt
Filed under: Podarcis lilfordi (Lilford's wall lizard)
Lineage: Eukaryota; Metazoa; Chordata; Lepidosauria; Squamata; Lacertidae
Description: tRNA.Val
Source: RNAcentral
GCCUGGAUAGCUCAGUUGGUUAGAGCCUGGUGCUGACGAUGCCAAGGUUCCAAGUUCGAUCCCAAGAUGGACA